AUUUAAAAUAAAAAGUUGUCUCAUGUUGUUUCAAACAUCUAGUAAUAAUAUACGACAUUUUGGUCAAUACUGUGGUCAAGAAAUUCAAUAACAGCAUAUUUAUAUAAAAGCAGUCUAUAAACGUCGGUAGCCUAUAUAAGGACGACUUAAGAGCAGUCUCUGUUCAAAGCAUAAAUAUAGUUUAAAUAAAUGUCAGGCCAGGACGAGUUGUCACAUUUUUCGUUGUAAUGUUACAUAAUUUAUUAAUGACAUUUUCUGUUGGGAUAAAACCUUUGCAUACGGUAUCUUGUGCAAUUUGGCUGCUUCACAUAUUUUUUCCGUUUAAAUUUUAUUAAAAACCCGUAACAGGCUUCCUAUUUAAAAAAGUAUUGACUUUCAGAAAUAUUAACCAUAUGUCAUCAGACCUGUUUAUAUCACCACUGUAAAUUACUUGUAUAUUUUAAUAAACCUUUAAAUAUUAAAUACAUUUAUAUAGACGUCGAUUGAGAAUGCUGAAAACUAGUGGGCUUAAUUCAUAUAGGUUACUAUAGGAACUGUGCAACCUAUAGGCGACAUAGCAUCGCUCUGUGUCACUGUGAAAAGCGUGCGGCCGAUGGAGAGAGAGAGAGUGCGCAAGGGAGCGCGAGGUGCGUGCGUUCUGCGCGCGUAAAUGUGAUUGGUCGCUUGGCUGCCUGCUGCCAGAGUGACGUCACUGCAGGAGAGGACUGACAGCGGAGGAUGCAUUUAGUGAGAAACUAGACACAUCCAGGCUGGAGAGAGAGAUCAUCGUAUCCGCGGAGCUCAGAGGCAGCGCAGAGGCUUGCGGCGGAACGAGAACAUCGCGCGCAGGUUACGUGCAUUCGUGAUUUAAUAAAGUAAGAGCCUGCGUCUCCGAGCUCUUGCAUCCAUGCAUUUCUCAUGGGAGAAAUUCCCCAUCUUGGAAAUAAAAGUGCCUUUUCCGUUCUGUGGAUCAACGUUCGAGGGUUGAAUACUUAAGGACUGCGACUAUUUAUAAGGGAAAUGCAUCACCGGAGAGACAGGACAGGCGAGUGUGCUUUUAACAAAAGAUGCUCCGGUGCUGUGCAGAGAUUUCGCGUCGUACUCCUUAACGCAAGACGCACGGGAUCCUUUAUUUGUCUCCAACACACUGACACUCGCAGCUCACUUUCUAACACAGAGGAAUAUCCACGUCGUUUAAAAAAGUCAACUUUACGAGAUGUUCCGAAUUACAAAGGUUUGACGGGAGGUGGUUGCUAUCUUUGGUUAUCUAGCUGUAUGAGUGUUUAUCUUCCUUCAUAAAGCUAGAUAACCGAAAGUAGAAACGUCCUCCUUAACGGCACACUAGACAUGUUAACCGGGAAACAGUGAUCACGCGGGAAAAGCUGUGGGAGUUACGAGAACGCGCCUCUUAAUGUGAAGUGGGUUUGUGAGAGACCAUAGGACUAAACCUAAAAAACCUCAUCUGCAACUGCCAGCCAUUUACACGCUGCCUUUUUGGAGUAAGGAAAAAAUGGCGCAAUUGUCCGAAUGAAAGAAAAGGGAAAGAAAAAUAAUAGUCAGCCCUCAUCCUUCUCCUACCAGCUCCCCUCCCUUCCCUUCGUCAACGGAAGCAUUUAGUGCCAUCUGUGCCCCCGGAGAAAAGCAAAAAGAAAGGAGCGAGACUCUACAUCCCAAGUGCCAAUGGGGACAAAGAGGCUGCCAGUUGCCAUGGACCACCAGAUGCUGGGAGACUGCAACACUGAAUGAGGGGUGUGCUUACAGGAAGCCAUCUUGAUGGAGAAACUGCCUGCUGCUCCCUAAAAUGGCUGUGUUGGCAUGAGGUUUCUAGCAAUGAUCAAAAGUGUGGAAGAAAAUCACUGUCAACAUCUGCUGCAAAAACUGAGGCCAUGCAGCUAUUUAUAACUGAGGUGGUCAAUCACAGCACUUCAGGAAUCCAGCAUUUACUCCAGAUGGCUCACUGUAAAACAAACAGAUGUGAGAUGGAUUGAAAACCUGCACUAAUUGAUUUAACUGGGUGUCUGAAACCUUUCAUCCUUCAAGUAAUCACUAAUUUCUGAUGCUUGUGACUGAUUUUGUACAAUACGAUGGUUAAGCUAGUUAAAUUUCAGGUAGGCUGUUAAAACAAUGUGUUACGAGUGCUAUGUAAAGUGAAGAAUAAUAUGCACUAAUGUGUGAAAUGUUUACAAAAAUGGUUUCUCUGCAUUAAUACACAAUCUCAAAGCUUUACUCAUUUGCAUUUCCUAUUUUGAAUGUAUACAUUAAAUGCCACUGUCUGUAUAUGAAUUGUUGGGAUCUAUUAAAAUGUGAAGUUUUGAUGGAUGUAUAAGAAAAAAAACUUGAUCUGGUUAUGUCGAAUACUUGAAUGAUGUUUCUGCAUUUACUGUUCCUCAGGAAAUAAAUCCUUCAACUAUAAAAUCAAACAUAAUUAAGUUACUGAUAAAAUACUGAUGUCUUCACUAUAGACAUUUUUAAUGAGGUAGACGUCAACCACAUCUUCACAUGGUGGCCACAAGCUGUUUUGAAGCUUAUAGACCUGGCACUCCCAUCAGCACCUUGGACAGCACAUAACCAUAUGACGCGGGAAAUAACCAAUGAAUCACUUUUCUUAUUCAUGUGGACAAAACAGAAAUAAAGUAAUAUGUGCAAGUCA
Molecule: non-coding RNA, 2629 nt
Organism: Paramisgurnus dabryanus
Lineage: Eukaryota; Metazoa; Chordata; Actinopteri; Cypriniformes; Cobitidae
Source: RefSeq, a predicted model, not a curated record